AGCUUUAUGCUCUCUAAUAAAGUAACUCCUGCUCAGUGAACACAAACAGCCGCAGAAUUUUAUACUGUGCUAAGGUAGCAUAAUCACUUGUCUUUUAAUUAAAGAAUAGAAUGAACGGAAACACGAAUUUUAACCUGUUUCACAUUUUUACAAUAAAAUUACCAAAAAGUAAAAACACUUUUUCAUAAAAAAAAGACGAUAAGACCCUAAAGAACUUAACUAAAGUUAAGCUGGGGCGGCUUUUUAAAAAAAUCUUAUUCAAUAUUAAUAUCACCUUACUAAAUUCUUAAAGUUACCUUAGGGAUAACAGCAUAAUCUAAUUUUAUAGCUCUUAUUCAAAAUUAAGAUUAUGACCUCGAUGUUGAAUUAAAAAUCUUUUAAACGAAAAAAAUUAGAAAGAAAGUCUGUUCGACUUUUAAAUAUUUACA
RNAcentral lists this ribosomal RNA (428 nucleotides) under Dysdera brevispina. RNAcentral describes it as "partial 16S ribosomal RNA". It matches the Rfam family "Bacterial large subunit ribosomal RNA", at positions 1817 to 2600 of the family's 2925-position model. The record is from RNAcentral. Lineage: Eukaryota; Metazoa; Arthropoda; Arachnida; Araneae; Dysderidae.